AGAGAGGGCAAGCACAGUAAUCACUGUAUGUGCCAUUCUACACAACCUCUGCAAGCGGAGGAACAUUCCACAGCCAGACGAUGAUGAUGAUGAUGGCGAUCAACAUGACAAGGAAUUUGGCCGUGUGGAACCGAGUGGACAGGCAUUUAGGGAUCACUUUGAAAACACAUUUUAGGUAAAUGUGUUUUCAAAGAGCACAGGUUGAGAAGAAGACAUGUAUCAGCCGGAUUAGCCCGUCACUGAAAUUAACCCUGCCACUGAAGAACCGGUUCCUGCCACUUCAAGGGUCCACGAACGCGCCUGCCACCCAUGCACCCCUGAGCCCCGAGAUGCGUCCGGACGGACAGUGCGGACAGAGACGGAACAAUAACCAGUCGCCAUUGAGGCGAGCUGAGAAGAAGCGAGACUACAGCCUCCCCCACACAUCUACUCUGCCACUAUCGGACACACAGAUAGCAGACAGCCCACAGACCUUGAAGAGAGACAACAGGCUUGGCGAGGAACGACCACCCCCCUCCUCUGCAUUAACUCAUCGACGAUGACCUCCAGCCUCAUCUCUCCUAUAGCUAUCUCUCCAGCCCCAAUGUCUCCUCCCUUUGCGAUUUUCCAGCCGAAUAUAAGAGACUGGAAUAUGUUGGCAGCAAACUUAUAUCUGUGUCAUCGAUAGCAUCGCCAUGUCAUGGCGACAGGCUGAUAACACCCAAGAGGAUGGCGCCCCAGCCCCCCCCCCUAUACUGAUAGUAGUCCUGAGUAUUACUGAGACAAAAAAGGGUUCAGCCGUAGACACAGUAUAAAGGAAGUUUCACAUAAUCUGCUGAACCCAAGGUUGCCUACGUCAAAGCAGGGCAACUUUCGCAUUCAUGCUGUAACCACUGAGAGUAAACAAAGGGAAACUUAGACACACUGCUAACCUCACAAAUCUCAUAUCUAUUGCCUCCAAACCAAAAACAACCUUAAAGCCUAUCAACAACACCAUCAGGAUGGCUCUACUUAAUGUGAGGUUUCUUAAUAACAAAUCAUUUUUAGUUAAUGAUUUUAUUACCACUUCUAAACUGGAUUUUAUGUUUUUAACUGAAACAUGGCUGGAACAAAUUAACAGUGCAACCGU
This 1108-nucleotide long non-coding RNA is filed under the name Gadus morhua (Atlantic cod). RNAcentral describes it as "lncRNA (ENSGMOG00000029370.1)". The record is from RNAcentral. Lineage: Eukaryota; Metazoa; Chordata; Actinopteri; Gadiformes; Gadidae.